Molecule: long non-coding RNA, 525 nt
Filed under: Phoenix dactylifera (date palm)
Lineage: Eukaryota; Viridiplantae; Streptophyta; Magnoliopsida; Arecales; Arecaceae
Description: long non-coding RNA (PDAC_LNC022541)
Source: RNAcentral
UCAUAUAUUUUAUAAAAUCAACUAAAAAAUGUGUUACCUUCAUCAUUGCAUUUUAAUAAAUUAUUAAAGGUAAUUUACUGGUCAAAAUUAAUGUGUGCAGGACAAAUCAAACUAAUUGGGAUGAUGUCUAAAUUAAUGUGUGCAGGUUACGUUUACAGCUGAACCCGUGUCCAUAGCCUUCGGAACAAAGCCGUUUGCCCCAUCCUAGCAUUCUUAUCCUCUCCGGAUCACAUCUCUCGGCUUAUUCCCAGAUGCAUCCUCUCAGAUCACACGUCCGAACUUCUCAGUUUAAACAAAACAGAGCCACAAUCUUCUAAAUGCUCCACCGUCCUUUGGAUUAAUCCCACGAACGGAAUCCCCAGCACCUUUGGAUUAAUCCUAUUACCCGGAUCAGCCAAGCCAACUCCUUCAAACGCCCCUUCCCGAUUAUCUUCCAACUUCUUCCCAGCAGAAGGUUCCCAACUGCCAGCCGAAGGAAGUCAAACAGCUUCCUCUUCUUCCGGAUCUCAUGGAGCAGCCCAACGU